AGGAAAAGUUCUAUAUGCUGCUUGUUAGUGUCACUUUUGAUUGAUGAGGUUGGAUUAUGAAGAAAUGUUUUACAAGAGGUAUGAAUUUGUAGAAUUUUUUUUCACCGAUGAUCACGUCACAAAAUUUCUUGCGUGGAAUGGCAAAUAUCAUUAUGAGUGCAAUUUUAUGUGUUUGCAGAGGGAAUCUUGGAUAUAUUAAAGUUUCCAUAAGUGGGGAUUUGGUUGGUCUGAGUCUUUAAGGUUGUGAGGUUAGUGAUUUGUGAUAUUUCAUUAGAAGUUAAGAUACUAAACAUUCCUCAAAACCCUGUAUCUAAUUCCUAUUGUCGGUUGCGAUUCAUGUGCACUAAAUGAUAAACGUUGUUAAAGAAGGUGAUUUGAAUAAUCGUUCACUUAACCAUGAUAAAUGUUAUAUAUAUACCUUUAUGCGCCUUCAAUGGAAAAUUAAGCGAUUGGAUUGUGGAUCCAGGAGAGACCAACUAUAUGACAGGUGCUGAGAGUUUAUUCGAAUCUUUAAAACCAUGUGAUAAGAGUUUGACAGUAAGGAGAGCAGAUGGAUGUGUCUCAAAGAUAGUUUUGGGCAGGGUCUGUUAAAACAUCAAAGGACCUCUUUUGGUCCAAAUAAUCUUCUGUCGAUAAGCAAACUUGAAAAAAAAUAGAACUAUGACGCUAAAUUCUUUCAAGAUUCGUGUGAAUUUCUAGACUUGAACUUGGGGAGGAUGUAGCAAUGCUAAUGCUCGGGUUUCUAUCUUUUAGGAAUCCUUACAGCGAAAGAAUAAAGGCUUCCAAGCCCAACUGCGACAUGGGUCAGUCCUAAAUUAACUUUUCAAGCUAUAGGUUUGUAACGGGAUGGCAUUUCGUUAAAAGUCUAUUCUCCGAACAUAUACCCUAGUUACGCACCUUAACCUUUCUCAGUAAUCCGUAGUGAUGUGUAGGGACCAUCUAGGGUAAGUGAUCAUUUGCGUGUAUGGGUAUAUCACCGCCCAUGAUGAAUAAUCACGAUAUAUCCUUGGAUAGAGUGUAAGGUGAAUGGAAUUCUAAUUUGGAUAGGACUCUUCGCAAUGAAAGAAUUUUGUCUAUUUCAGAAGUUGAAUUGUUGAUCCUCGUCACUAUGACAUUGGAUCCAACUCAAAGGGGG
This 1135-nucleotide long non-coding RNA is filed under the name Gossypium raimondii (Peruvian cotton). Its description in RNAcentral is "long non-coding RNA (GRAI_LNC003809)". Lineage: Eukaryota; Viridiplantae; Streptophyta; Magnoliopsida; Malvales; Malvaceae. The record is from RNAcentral.